GACGAACGCUGGCGGCGUGCCUAAUACAUGCAAGUAGAACGCUGAAGAGAGGAGCUUGCUCUUCUUGGAUGAGUUGCGAACGGGUGAGUAACGCGUAGGUAACCUGCCUUGUAGCGGGGGAUAACUAUUGGAAACGAUAGCUAAUACCGCAUAACAAUGGAUGACACAUGUCAUUUAUUUGAAAGGGGCAAAUGCUCCACUACAAGAUGGACCUGCGUUGUAUUAGCUAGUAGGUGAGGUAACGGCUCACCUAGGCGACGAUACAUAGCCGACCUGAGAGGGUGAUCGGCCACACUGGGACUGAGACACGGCCCAGACUCCUACGGGAGGCAGCAGUAGGGAAUCUUCGGCAAUGGGGGCAACCCUGACCGAGCAACGCCGCGUGAGUGAAGAAGGUUUUCGGAUCGUAAAGCUCUGUUGUAAGUCAAGAACGAGUGUGAGAGUGGAAAGUUCACACUGUGACGGUAGCUUACCAGAAAGGGACGGCUAACUACGUGCCAGCAGCCGCGGUAAUACGUAGGUCCCGAGCGUUGUCCGGAUUUAUUGGGCGUAAAGCGAGCGCAGGCGGUUUGAUAAGUCUGAAGUUAAAGGCUGUGGCUCAACCAUAGUUCGCUUUGGAAACUGUCAAACUUGAGUGCAGAAGGGGAGAGUGGAAUUCCAUGUGUAGCGGUGAAAUGCGUAGAUAUAUGGAGGAACACCGGUGGCGAAAGCGGCUCUCUGGUCUGUAACUGACGCUGAGGCUCGAAAGCGUGGGGAGCGAACAGGAUUAGAUACCCUGGUAGUCCACGCCGUAAACGAUGAGUGCUAGGUGUUGGAUCCUUUCCGGGAUUCAGUGCCGCAGCUAACGCAUUAAGCACUCCGCCUGGGGAGUACGACCGCAAGGUUGAAACUCAAAGGAAUUGACGGGGGCCCGCACAAGCGGUGGAGCAUGUGGUUUAAUUCGAAGCAACGCGAAGAACCUUACCAGGUCUUGACAUCCCGAUGCUAUUUCUAGAGAUAGAAAGUUACUUCGGUACAUCGGUGACAGGUGGUGCAUGGUUGUCGUCAGCUCGUGUCGUGAGAUGUUGGGUUAAGUCCCGCAACGAGCGCAACCCCUAUUGUUAGUUGCCAUCAUUCAGUUGGGCACUCUAGCGAGACUGCCGGUAAUAAACCGGAGGAAGGUGGGGAUGACGUCAAAUCAUCAUGCCCCUUAUGACCUGGGCUACACACGUGCUACAAUGGUUGGUACAACGAGUUGCGAGUCGGUGACGGCAAGCUAAUCCCUUAAAGCCAAUCUCAGUUCGGAUUGUAGGCUGCAACUCGCCUACAUGAAGUCGGAAUCGCUAGUAAUCGCGGAUCAGCACGCCGCGGUGAAUACGUUCCCGGGCCU
RNAcentral lists this ribosomal RNA (1369 nucleotides) under uncultured bacterium. RNAcentral's name for it is "bacterial SSU rRNA". It matches the Rfam family "Bacterial small subunit ribosomal RNA", at positions 28 to 1381 of the family's 1533-position model. The record is from RNAcentral.